UACGAAGGUCCCAAGCGUUAUCCGGAUUUAUUGGGUUUAAAGGGUGCGUAGGCGGACUAUUAAGUCAGUGGUGAAAGCCCCCAGCCUAACUGGGGAACUGCCAUUGAUACUGAUGGUCUUGAGUACAUUUGAGGUGGGCGGAAUGUGUCAUGUAGCGGUGAAAUGCUUAGAUAUGACACAGAACACCGAUUGCGAAGGCAGCUCACUAAAUUGUAACUGACGCUGAGGCACGAAAGCGUGGGGAUCAAACAGG
This 253-nucleotide ribosomal RNA is filed under the name uncultured bacterium. RNAcentral describes it as "partial 16S ribosomal RNA". It matches the Rfam family "Bacterial small subunit ribosomal RNA", at positions 524 to 776 of the family's 1533-position model. The record is from RNAcentral.